CUUCGGAGACACUCGAGUGGCGAACGGGUGAGUAACACGUGGGUGAUCUGCCCUGCACUUCGGGAUAAACCUGGGAAACUGGGUCUAAUACCGGAUAGGACCACGGGAUGCAUGUCUUGUGGUGGAAAGCGCUUUAGCGGUGUGGGAUGAGCCCGCGGCCUAUCAGCUUGUUGGUGGGGUGACGGCCUACCAAGGCGACGACGGGUAGCCGGCCUGAGAGGGUGUCCGGCCACACUGGGACUGAGAUACGGCCCAGACUCCUACGGGAGGCAGCAGUGGGGAAUAUUGCACAAUGGGCGCAAGCCUGAUGCAGCGACGCCGCGUGGGGGAUGACGGCCUUCGGGUUGUAAACCUCUUUCACCAUCGACGAAGGUCCGGGUUCUCUCGGAUUGACGGUAGGUGGAGAAGAAGCACCGGCCAACUACGUGCCAGCAGCCGCGGUAAUACGUAGGGUGCGAGCGUUGUCCGGAAUUACUGGGCGUAAAGAGCUCGUAGGUGGUUUGUCGCGUUGUUCGUGAAAUCUCACGGCUUAACUGUGAGCGUGCGGGCGAUACGGGCAGACUAGAGUACUGCAGGGGAGACUGGAAUUCCUGGUGUAGCGGUGGAAUGCGCAGAUAUCAGGAGGAACACCGGUGGCGAAGGCGGGUCUCUGGGCAGUAACUGACGCUGAGGAGCGAAAGCGUGGGGAGCGAACAGGAUUAGAUACCCUGGUAGUCCACGCCGUAAACGGUGGGUACUAGGUGUGGGUUUCCUUCCUUGGGAUCCGUGCCGUA
This 773-nucleotide ribosomal RNA is filed under the name Mycobacterium tuberculosis. RNAcentral's name for it is "bacterial SSU rRNA". It matches the Rfam family "Bacterial small subunit ribosomal RNA", at positions 78 to 850 of the family's 1533-position model. Lineage: Bacteria; Bacillati; Actinomycetota; Actinomycetes; Mycobacteriales; Mycobacteriaceae. The record is from RNAcentral.